GACGAACGCUGGCGGCGUGCUUAACACAUGCAGGUCGAACGGAAAGGCCCUGCUUUUGUGGGGUGCUCGAGUGGCGAACGGGUGAGUAACACGUGAGUAACCUGCCCUUGACUUUGGUAUAACUUCAGGAAACUGGGGCUAAUACCGGAUAGGUGCUCCUGCUGCAUGGUGGGGUUUGGAAAGUUUCGGCGGUUGGGGAUGGACUCGCGGCUUAUCAGCUUGUUGGUGGGGUAGUGGCUUACCAAGGCUUUGACGGGUAGCCGGCCUGAGAGGGUGACCGGCCACAUUGGGACUGAGAUACGGCCCAGACUCCUACGGGAGGCAGCAGUGGGGAAUAUUGCACAAUGGGCGGAAGCCUGAUGCAGCAACGCCGCGUGAGGGAUGACGGCCUUCGGGUUGUAAACCGCUUUCGCCAGUGAAGAAGCGUGAGUGACGGUAAUGGGUAAAGAAGCACCGGCUAACUACGUG
Molecule: ribosomal RNA, 468 nt
Filed under: uncultured bacterium
Lineage: Bacteria
Description: partial 16S ribosomal RNA
Rfam family: Bacterial small subunit ribosomal RNA
Source: RNAcentral